AUUGAACGCUGGUGGCAUGCUUAACACAUGCAAGUCGAACGGUAGCAGACCUAGCUUGCUAGGUGCUGACGAGUGGCGGACGGGUGAGUAACACGUGGGUGACCUGCCCUCAGCUCUGGGAUAAGCCUGGGAAACCGGGUCUAAUACUGGAUAUGACUCCAUGACGCAUGUUGUGGGGUGGAAAGCCUUGUGCGGCUGAGGAUGGGCCCGCGGCCUAUCAGCUUGUUGGUGGGUGAUGGCCUACCAAGGCGACGACGGGUAGCCGGCCUGAGAGGGCGACCGGCCACACUGGGACUGAGACACGGCCCAGACUCCUACGGGAGGCAGCAGUGGGGAAUCUUGCGCAAUGGGCGAAAGCCUGACGCAGCGACGCCGCGUGAGGGAUGACGGCCU
This 393-nucleotide ribosomal RNA is filed under the name uncultured bacterium. RNAcentral describes it as "bacterial SSU rRNA". It matches the Rfam family "Bacterial small subunit ribosomal RNA", at positions 28 to 417 of the family's 1533-position model. The record is from RNAcentral.